Molecule: transfer RNA, 75 nt
Filed under: Candidatus Odinarchaeum yellowstonii
Lineage: Archaea; Promethearchaeati; Candidatus Odinarchaeota; Candidatus Odinarchaeia; Candidatus Odinarchaeales; Candidatus Odinarchaeaceae
Also listed under: 2 other names
Description: tRNA-His
Rfam family: tRNA
About the family: Transfer RNA (tRNA) molecules are approximately 80 nucleotides in length. Their secondary structure includes four short double-helical elements and three loops (D, anti-codon, and T loops).
Source: RNAcentral
GCCGGGGUGGGGUAGUGGUAGUCCUAGAGGCCUGUGGAGCCUUUGGCACGGGUUCAAUUCCCGUCCCCGGCCCCA